UACGUAGGGUGCAAGCGUUGUCCGGAAUUAUUGGGCGUAAAGAGCUCGUAGGCGGUUUGUCGCGUCGAAUGUGAAAACCCGGGGCUCAACCCCGGGCCUGCAUUCGAUACGGGCAGACUAGAGUUCGGUAGGGGAGUCUGGAAUUCCUGGUGUAGCGGUGAAAUGCGCAGAUAUCAGGAGGAACACCGGUGGCGAAGGCGGGACUCUGGGCCGAUACUGACGCUGAUGAGCGAAAGCGUGGGGAGCGAACAGG
RNAcentral lists this ribosomal RNA (253 nucleotides) under uncultured bacterium. RNAcentral's name for it is "partial 16S ribosomal RNA". It matches the Rfam family "Bacterial small subunit ribosomal RNA", at positions 524 to 776 of the family's 1533-position model. The record is from RNAcentral.